This 546-nucleotide long non-coding RNA is filed under the name Pan troglodytes (chimpanzee). RNAcentral describes it as "long non-coding RNA NONPTRT013421". Lineage: Eukaryota; Metazoa; Chordata; Mammalia; Primates; Hominidae. The record is from RNAcentral.
AAAAUAUAGGAGUUAUGUUUUUGUUGUUCAGCCAAGUGGGGAAGGUAAUUCUCACUAAAUCUGAUAACCUGGAAGGCAUGCAAAAAAACAAAAGAAAAAAAACUCACCAGAUCUCUUUGAUUAUAUAUUAACCCCACCAUAUGAUAGGUUAGGAUAUAAGACUAGGAUAUUAGUGAAAAUGGCAGUGCAAUGACGUCCAAAAAUCUCUUCUCCAUAAAAGUGAUGAGAAAACUGGUAAAAGUUGUUGGAAUCAAAUUUUUCUGAACUCUGGAAAUUAACCAAGGCUUGGAAUAACCUGGAGAGGGUUCAUUCAAGAAUAAAUGGCUGAAUUUCAGGAAGGCCAGUGAGCUUAGGGCAUUUUAAUAGUCUCAUUCCCUGCUCUCCAGGUGCACAGUAAUCUUGUAAAAUAGAACUCUGCAUUCCUAUUGCAGCCUGGCAGAACCCCCAGAGGUAACAGAAUGAAGUUGGAGAUCUUACAAAGCUCCACUUCCAAAUAAUUGCCCUUUAAAAAGAAACCUAUUUCAUGGUUUCCUGGAAUGUUCCCAC